GAUGAACGCUGGCGGCGUGCCUAAUACAUGCAAGUCGAGCGAACGGACGAGAAGCUUGCUUCUCUGAUGUUAGCGGCGGACGGGUGAGUAACACGUGGAUAACCUACCUAUAAGACUGGGAUAACUUCGGGAAACCGGAGCUAAUACCGGAUAAUAUUUUGAACCGCAUGGUUCAAAAGUGAAAGACGGUCUUGCUGUCACUUAUAGAUGGAUCCGCGCUGCAUUAGCUAGUUGGUAAGGUAACGGCUUACCAAGGCAACGAUGCAUAGCCGACCUGAGAGGGUGAUCGGCCACACUAGAACUGAGACACGGUCCAGACUCCUACGGGAGGCAGCAGUAGGGAAUCUUCCGCAAUGGGCGAAAGCCUGACGGAGCAGCGCCGCGUGAGUGAUGAAGGUCUUCGGAUCGUAAAACUCUGUUAUUAGGGAAGAACAUAUGUGUAAGUAACUGUGCACAUCUUGACGGUACCUAAUCAGAAAGCCACGGCUAACUACGUG
RNAcentral lists this ribosomal RNA (497 nucleotides) under uncultured bacterium. RNAcentral describes it as "partial 16S ribosomal RNA". It matches the Rfam family "Bacterial small subunit ribosomal RNA", at positions 28 to 507 of the family's 1533-position model. The record is from RNAcentral.